This 245-nucleotide long non-coding RNA is filed under the name Capsicum annuum. Its description in RNAcentral is "long non-coding RNA (CANN_LNC004503)". Lineage: Eukaryota; Viridiplantae; Streptophyta; Magnoliopsida; Solanales; Solanaceae. The record is from RNAcentral.
AUUCUUUAGUCCCCGGGUUGGUGAAAUUUUAGCCUUUUAGAAGUCGUCUUUCUUUUUAUACAAAUGUGUUGUAUUGUUUACCUCUCCUGUCACCAUGUAGUACUAUAUUUGCUAGAAAAAUUGAGCGGACUCUUUACUUUCGAUGCCGUACCUGUCGGAUUCUCCGAAAAUGCACUACUUUUGGAGAAUUCGACACACACCCGCUGAUAUUUUUAAAGAGUCCGAGCAACAUAGUUUGCCAGUGC